RNAcentral lists this ribosomal RNA (393 nucleotides) under uncultured bacterium. RNAcentral's name for it is "bacterial SSU rRNA". It matches the Rfam family "Bacterial small subunit ribosomal RNA", at positions 140 to 518 of the family's 1533-position model. The record is from RNAcentral.
GGGAUAGCCCAGGGAAACCUGGAUUAAUACCGGAUGAGACGGGACCCGCGAUGGCGGGAUCCGGGAAAGGCGCGUGCGGCGCCGCCGGGGGGAUGAGUCUGCGUACCCAUUAGCUAGACGGCGGGGUAACGGCCCACCGUGGCGACGAUGGGUAGCCGGCCUGAGAGGGUGGACGGCCACAUUGGAACUGAGACACGGUCCAGACUCCUACGGGAGGCAGCAGCUAAGAAUCUUCCGCAAUGGGCGAAAGCCUGACGGAGCCGACGCCGCGUGAACGAAGAAGGCCGUGAGGUUGUAAAGUUCUUUCGGGAGGGGAACAACCGUGGCAGGGAAUGGCCGCGGGAUGACGUGAAUCCCGGAAUAAGCCCCGGCUAACUACGUGCCAGCAGCGGC